RNAcentral lists this ribosomal RNA (484 nucleotides) under uncultured bacterium. Its description in RNAcentral is "partial 16S ribosomal RNA". It matches the Rfam family "Bacterial small subunit ribosomal RNA", at positions 30 to 507 of the family's 1533-position model. The record is from RNAcentral.
AUUGAACGCUGGCGGCAGGCCUGACACAUGCAAGUCGAGCGGAUGAAGGGAGCUUGCUCCUGGAUUCAGCGGCGGACGGGUGAGUAAUGCCUAGGAAUCUGCCUGGUAGUGGGGGAUAACGUCCGGAAACGGGCGCUAAUACCGCAUACGUCCUGAGGGAGAAAGUGGGGGAUCUUCGGACCUCACGCUAUCAGAUGAGCCUAGGUCGGAUUAGCUAGUUGGUGGGGUAAAGGCCUACCAAGGCGACGAUCCGUAACUGGUCUGAGAGGAUGAUCAGUCACACUGGAACUGAGACACGGUCCAGACUCCUACGGGAGGCAGCAGUGGGGAAUAUUGGACAAUGGGCGAAGGCCUGAUCCAGCCAUGCCGCGUGUGUGAAGAAGGUCUUCGGAUUGUAAAGCACUUUAAGUUGGGAGGAAGGGCAGUAAGUUAAUACCUUGCUGUUUUGACGUUACCAACAGAAUAAGCACCGGCUAACUUCGUG